Molecule: long non-coding RNA, 2640 nt
Organism: Oreochromis niloticus (Nile tilapia)
Lineage: Eukaryota; Metazoa; Chordata; Actinopteri; Cichliformes; Cichlidae
Source: Ensembl
AAUCCUCCCUUAGUUAUGCUGCAAUAGACGUAGGCUGCCGGGGAUUCCCAUGAUGCAUUGAGUUUUUCCCUUCCACUCACCUUUCUCACUCACUAUGUGUUAAUAGACCUCUCUGCAUCGAAUCAUAUCUGUUAUUAAUCUCUGUCUCUCUUCCACAGCAUGUCUUUAUCCUGUUUUUCUUCUUUCACCCCAACCGGUCGCAGCAGAUGGCCGCCCCUCCUGAGCCUGGUUCUGCCGGAGGUUUCUUCCUGUUAAAAGGGAGUUUUUCCUUCCCACUGUCGCCAAAGUGCUUGCUCAUAGGGGGUCAUAUGAUUGUUGGGUUUUUCUCUGUAUUUAUUAUUGUGCUAUCUACUGUACAAUAUAAAGCGCCUUGAGGCGACUUUUGUUGUGAUUUGGCGCUAUAUAAAUAAAAUUGAAUUGAAUUGAAUUGAAUUGAACUCCUCAACAUGUCUUGAAGUUCUCCAGAGGCCUCCAGAGGUAAUAAACUAAUCAUUUGAUUCAGGUGUGUUGACCCAGGGUGAGAUCUAAAACCUGCAGGACACCGGCCCUUGAGGCUAGGAGUUGCCUACCCCUGAUAUAGAGGGAAGCUGGCAACUCUGUGCCAAAGCAUGCUGCAUUUUAGUACAGAGGGAUGGAGAACUGGCAACUCUGUGCCUUUUUUUUCUCUCUCUCUUACCUCCCUGUCUAUGAGAGAAAGUGGCAACCCGAUUGUAGAAAAGUUUGCUGCUGCUUUUACAAAUGACGGUUAAAGGAAAACCUGGCAACCCAGUGCCAUUUUUAUUUUAAUUUUUUUUCCCCAUGCAGAGAAACUGGCCGUUCGGUGGUAGGAAGCUUGUUGCUGCGUUUGCGAAUGACAGAUAGGGAAGAACCUGGCAUCCCAGUGCCAACGUUCAGUGAGUUUCUUGGAUUGCCGGAGGAAAAGCGAUGAAUGCAGAGCCUGAGUAGUUGUUCGUCUGAUGCGCUGACGGACGGGAGUGCGAUUGACAACAGGAGAGACGAGUCCUCCGUCACAGGUGGUGUGGUCAGUGAAGAUGGUCGCCUGCAGGUUCAAGCUCAUUGCAUCUCCAGCCCACAUCCACUGCCACUGUACUUAAGGGAAGUUAAAGACUUUCUUCUGCACUUACAUUUGGAUCACCUCGAUCCAUGACAGUCAUUCAGGCAGUAAUGACGAAUCUCUUCGUCCGCAUGGUUACUUGUUGCUUUCUGUUCCACUUGCCCGAACUGAACUUGGUAAAAGAGCUUUUGUCAAUUUAGCACCCUCGGCUUGGAACAAACUGCAGAAGGACUGGAAAAUGACUGAAUUCAUUUCAUUAAGUGCUUUUAGAUCUAAACUACGAAUCCUUGAGGCCAAGUCCAUAAUAUGCAACUGUUUUAAUUAGAUUGAUUGUCAUUUUAACUGCCUUUUUUUUUUCUUUUUUUUUUUAAUUGAAUUUUAUUUUAUUUGUUUUCUUUCACUUAUUGUUGCAUGUGUGUUGUUGAUGCCUAUGUUUGAGUAAUCUCUGUAACUGUGAGACACCUGCUGCUGCCUAUCUUGGCCAGGUCUCCCUUGAAAAAGAGGUUUUUAAUCUCAAUGGGAUCUUCCUGGUUAAAUAAAGGUUAAUAAUAAUAAUAAAUGCCUGGACUGGAAACAAGCAUCCUUAAAAUAAUACAACAUUCCAGCUCAUGUGUUGGAAUGAAAAACAAAUGUGUGGUUUAAAUUAGAGACUGCACUUGUGACAGAACAAUAAAUAUUUUAUUUUGAUUAUAUAAGUAAGUACAAAACAAACUUGUGGUAGGCCUAAACUUAUUUUAAGAAUAAUUACAUCUGAGACUUUGUCUCAUUGUAAGAUUAUAAUUGUUUGUUGUUCAGCAGAACAGUGUUCAGUAUGUUGGCUGUUAUACUUUGUUGCAUUUGAAAAUAAAAGUUGGGCUCAUUUUAACAUCAUUACAAAAAGUGUUGUUAAUUAUUUUUAAUCAUAUUCAGGUUACCACAAAUUGUUUUUUCAUUUAGUUGAAUGUUUGUCAGUAGGUAAACAAUUAGUAUUGUACAUUCAGAAAUAUCAAGUUAUUCUUAAUACUGCAGACUUGCAAUGUAUAAGUUGUCCUAACAGUCAUCUUAAGUAAGCUUUACUUAGUUUUUUUUGAGGCAACAAGUUUCCAUAAUUUUUUUGAGUUCUGGGAACUAACAAGGCUGUACAGUGUACUCAAAAUGGGUAAGUUGCCCUAACUUGGUCAUCUUAAGUAAACUUGAUCCAAUUUUUUUGACUUCUGGGAACAAAUGAGCUUGUACAGAGUACUCAAAAUAAAUAAGUUGUCCUAAUUUAGUCAUUUUUAGCUAAGCUUUACUCAAUUUUUUUAAGGCAAUGAGUUUCCUCAGUUUUUUUGAGUUCUGGGAACUAAUUAGAUUUUACAGUGAUGGAAGUAUUAUUGUAACAAAAUGUUUUCUAAGUAGAUUUUUUACCAAUUGAACACAUUUGUUUCUGUGGUCUUAAAUACAUAAAAGCAUAUUGUUUAACUUGGCUGCGAUGGUACAAAUCUAAAUUUCCGGUUUAUUUUCACUUUUUAAAUAUGAAGUGUUGAAAGGCCUACAGUUAAAAAAUAAAAAAGUUAUUUGCUAAAAAAAAAUGCUGAAUGAAUUCAUUUUUUAAAAGCUAUUACAAU